This 301-nucleotide ribosomal RNA is filed under the name uncultured bacterium. Its description in RNAcentral is "bacterial SSU rRNA". It matches the Rfam family "Bacterial small subunit ribosomal RNA", at positions 28 to 329 of the family's 1533-position model. The record is from RNAcentral.
GACGAACGCUGGCGGCGUGCUUAACACAUGCAAGUCGAGCGGUAAGGCCCUCGGGUACGACGAGCGGCGAACGGGUGAGUAACACGUGGGUGACCUGCCUCUAGCUCUGGGAGUAAGACCUGGGAAACUAGGGUCGUAAUACCGGAUAUGACUCCACGGCGCAUGUUGUGGGGUGGAAAGCCUUGUGUGGCUAGAGAUGGGCCCGCGGCCGUACCAGCUUGUUGGUGGGGUGAUGGCCUACCAAGGCGACGACGGUAGCCGGCCUGAGAGGGCGACCGGCCACACUGGGACUGAGACACGG